This 93-nucleotide ribosomal RNA is filed under the name Trichomanes collariatum. The record is from RNAcentral. Lineage: Eukaryota; Viridiplantae; Streptophyta; Polypodiopsida; Hymenophyllales; Hymenophyllaceae.
UGGUGCGGUCAUACCAGCGCUAGUACACCGGAUCCCAUCAGAACUCCGCAGUUAAGCGCGCUUGGGCCAGAACAGUACUGGGAUGGGUGACCU